UUUAAAUGUAAAUAAAAAUUCUAAAUUAGUAUUAGUUAUAUUCUUGAAAGUUAAAGAUUUUGGCGGUAUUUUAGUCUUUUCAGAGGAACCUGUUCUAUAAUCGAUAAUCCACGAUUAAUUUUACUUGUAUUAAUAUUAAUUUGUAUAUCGUCGUAGUUUGAAUAUUUUAUAAGAAUUUAAAUAUUCAUAAUUUUUAAUAAAAAAAGAAAUCAGAUCAAGGUGCAGUUUAUAUACAAGCAGUAAUGGGUUACAAUAUUAGUAUUUAUAUGGUAUAGAAUUUGAAAAAAUUUUAUUAAAGUGGAUUUGAAAGUAAUAAAAUUAAUUUUAAUUUUAUGAUUUAAGCUCUAAAAUAUGC
This 355-nucleotide ribosomal RNA is filed under the name Deinopteroloma pictum. RNAcentral's name for it is "partial 12S ribosomal RNA". The record is from RNAcentral. Lineage: Eukaryota; Metazoa; Arthropoda; Insecta; Coleoptera; Staphylinidae.